This 506-nucleotide ribosomal RNA is filed under the name uncultured bacterium. RNAcentral's name for it is "partial 16S ribosomal RNA". It matches the Rfam family "Bacterial small subunit ribosomal RNA", at positions 29 to 523 of the family's 1533-position model. The record is from RNAcentral.
AGUGAACGCUGGCGGUAGGCCUAACACAUGCAAGUCGAACGGCAGCACAGAGGAGCUUGCUCCUUGGGUGGCGAGUGGCGGACGGGUGAGGAAUACAUCGGAAUCUACUCUGUCGUGGGGGAUAACGUAGGGAAACUUACGCUAAUACCGCAUACGACCUACGGGUGAAAGCAGGGGAUCUUCGGACCUUGCGCGAUUGAAUGAGCCGAUGUCGGAUUAGCUAGUUGGCGGGGUAAAGGCCCACCAAGGCGACGAUCCGUAGCUGGUCUUAGAGGAUGAUCAGCCACACUGGAACUGAGAUACGGUCCAGACUCCUACGGGUGGCAGCAGUGGGGAAUAUUGGACAAUGGGCGCAAGACUGAUCCAGCCAUACCGCGUGGGUGAAGAAGGCCUUCGGGUUGUAAAGCCCUUUUGUUGGGAAAGAAAUCCAUCUGGUUAAUACCCGGGUGGGAUGACGGUACCCAAAGAAUAAGCACCGGCUAACUUCGUGCCAGCAGCCGCCGUAA